UCCAGUUGAUCCUGCUGGCGGCUGCGGCUCUUUGGUUUGCGAUUAGCCAUGCAAGUUUUUGUUCUUAGAAAUAGGAGCAAGGCGAACUGCUCAGUAACACGUAGCUAACCUACCCUUAGGUCAGAAAUAUCCUCGGGAAACUGAGGUUAAAGUCUGAUAUGAGAUAUAUCCUGGAAUGAUUUAUCUCUGAAACUCGCGCCUAAGGAUGGGGCUGCGGCAGAUUAGAUAGUUGGCGGGAUAAAAGCCCACCAAGUCGAUGAUCUGUAAGGGCUCUUAGCGGAGAGGCCCUGAGAGGGAAUCUGAGACACUAUUCCCAGCCCUACGGGGUGCAGCAGGUAGGAAUCUUUUGCAAUGCGCGUAAGCGUGACAAAGUGAACCAAAGUGUUUUUCAAAAUAGAAAAGCUUUUGCCAAUUCUAAAAAGAUUGGCGAAUAAGGACUGGGUAAGACUAGUGCCAGCCGCCGCGGUAAUACUAGCGGUCCAAGUCGCAGCCAUUAUUAUUGGGUCUAAAACAUCCGUAGCUUGCUUGAAAAGUUUUUUGUGAAAUCUUGUAUCUCAAGUACAAGGCGAGCAAAAAAUACUAUCAAGCUAGAGACAGGAAGACGUAGGAAGUACGACUGAGGUAGUGGUAAAAUACUUUAAUCUUGGUCGGACUCACAAUAGCGAAGGCAUCCUACGAGGACUGUUCUGACAGUAAGGGAUGAAGGCUAGGGGCGCAAAACAGAUUAGAUACCUGUGUAGUCCUAGCAGUAAACACUGCACACUAAACAUCAGUACCUCUUCGAGAGGUAUUGGUGCUGAAGGGAAGCCGAAGAGUGUGCUACCUGGGAAGUAUAGUCGCAAGGCCGAAACUUAAAGGAAUUGGCGGGGAGACACUACAACGGGUGACGAGUGCGGUUCAAUUAGAUUAUACACCGUGAACCUCACCAGGAGCGACAGCAGAAUGAAGGUCAGUCUGAAGGGCUUACCUGACACGCUGAGAGGAGUUGCAUGGCCGACGUCAGCCUGUGCCGUGAGGUGACCUGUUAAAUCAGGUAACAGGCGAGACCCACGUGUAUAUUUACUACGUGUACAAUAUGCAGAUUGCCUUGGUAACAAGGAUGAAAGUUUGGGCUACGUUAGGUGAGUACAGCCCGAAUCCCCUGGGCCACACGCGCGCGUCAAUGCUGAAUACAACGAGAUGCGACUCCGAAAAGGGAAGCUAAUCUCCUAAAGUUCAGCUCAGUUCAGAUUGAGGUUUGCAACCCAGCCUCAUGACGAUGGAAUCCGUAGUAAUCGUUUGUUAUCAGCGAACGGUGAAUAUGUCACUGUCUCUUGCACACACUGCCCGUCAAACCAACCGAGUUAUGUUAGGGUGAAACUCGUUAGAGGAGAACUCUGAUAUGACAAGGUAGGUUAAGUCGACACAAGGU
RNAcentral lists this ribosomal RNA (1411 nucleotides) under metagenome. RNAcentral's name for it is "bacterial SSU rRNA". It matches the Rfam family "Archaeal small subunit ribosomal RNA". The record is from RNAcentral.